CCUACGGGAGGCUGCAGUGGGGAAUAUUGGGCAAUGGGCGCAAGCCUGACCCAGCAACGCCGCGUGAAGGAAGAAGGCUUUCGGGUUGUAAACUUCUUUUCUGAGGGACGAAGAAAGUGACGGUACCUCAGGAAUAAGCCACGGCUAACUACGUGCCAGCAGCCGCGGUAAUACGUAGGUGGCAAGCGUUAUCCGGAUUUAUUGGGUGUAAAGGGCGUGUAGGCGGGAGAGCAAGUCAGAUGUGAAAACUACAGGCUUAACCUGUAGCCUGCAUUUGAAACUGUUCUUCUUGAGUGAUGGAGAGGCAGGCGGAAUUCCUAGUGUAGCGGUGAAAUGCGUAGAUAUUAGGAGGAACACCAGUGGCGAAGGCGGCCUGCUGGACAUUAACUGACGCUGAGGCGCGAAAGCGUGGGGAGCAAACAGGAUUAGAUACCCGGGUAGUC
This 443-nucleotide ribosomal RNA is filed under the name uncultured bacterium. RNAcentral's name for it is "partial 16S ribosomal RNA". It matches the Rfam family "Bacterial small subunit ribosomal RNA", at positions 338 to 795 of the family's 1533-position model. The record is from RNAcentral.